GCCGCCUUCUCCCUGCCAGGCGUCAGCGCCACCUAUUGCAAAGGGUAUGAAAUGGCAGGCCGUGGCUUCGACAAUAGCCUCCGGCAUUGGAUAAAGAGAAUAAAAUUGUAUUCGGCCUGAUCUGAGUACUUUUACAUAAUAAAAGUGAAGGCCAAAGAAGUGACAUUUUGAUAGUUAUUAACUACCUAGAGAUCUUCGGCGAGCCUUCCGUAUUUCAGCCCUUCCCCUAAUUUCGCAAUUACCCUAAAGAUGGUGUCCAUCGCCAGCCCUCUCUCUACCCCGUGCUCUCGAUCCUUAUAUUUGCUGCUUUCUGCUGUUCACAUGGCGAACACAGGCAUCACAUACUCAACAAGGGCCAGGUGAAAUUCACUACCCUUUCUCACCUCCUCUUUCCCACACUACAAACUGACCCCUGUCCUAAGAACUGACGCUUCCUUCUCUAGUCUGUAUCUUGGUUAACGCACUUCUGUCCACCCCUGUCUCCCACACACUGUCACCAACCCCUGUGGAACAGUGGAAUGAGACCAAGGGGUCGGGUACCCUUAGAUACAGAUCCCAACAAGUUCCCUCCUCCCCAUCCUUUUCAUCUUACCUCCCAAGGGUCUCUUGAGUUCAGCUUGCUCCCCUCCAUUCCUAAUGCCAUUUGCCCUUGUUCGGGGCAUUAUUUCUCACCUGGACUACUGCCUCCUAAUUGGCUUCCAAGUCUCCACCAUCACACAUUUCUGGUCCAUCAUUCACAAACCUGCCAAAGUGAUUUUUCUAAAAUGCAAAUCUGAUCACAUCUCUCUUAUAAAACUCUUUACUGACACCCUAUUGCUGGUGCUAAAUUCAAGCUCUUCAGCUCCGCAUGCAAAACACUUCAAAAUCUGGUCCUUGCCUUGACUUCCUCUAGAAUCUUCUAUCUUACCACCUCCAUCUUACCCACCCCCACCAAAACCUCAUGAUCUGACCAAACAUUACUAAUUAUAGUUCCUCCCAAAACACCAUGCAGUUUCCUUUCUCCGUGCCUUUACACAUGUUCUCCAGGACCAGCUAUGUCCUGUCCCACUUGGGCUACCUAAAAAAUUCCUCCUCGUUCUUUAAAAAUCAAUGUAAUUUUCACAUCCUCUUGCAAGCCUUCCAUGAAACUUUCCUAUGGAAAUGAUCCCUCCCUCCUCUGUGCUUUCUCUGUCCCUCUGUUGCCUUAUCACAUUGUUUUGUGAUGAUGUUUGCAGACCUGUCUUGUCUCUCCUACCACAGAGCUGAGCUUCUUGAGGACAAGGACAGCAUCUUACUCAUUUCUAUGUCCCUUUUGCCAACCCAACAUUUUAAUUUUCUUUUUAUAGACAAGAGAUCUCACCCUGUCUCCCAGGCUGGAGUGCAGUGGUGCGAUCAUAGCUUGCUGCAGCCUCAAACUCCUGAGCUCAAGAAAUCCUCCUGCUUCAGCCUCUCAAAUAGCUGGUAUUACAGGCAUGCACCGUCAUGCCCAGCUCAACCCAACAUUUUAUAAUAAUGAUGAUAAGAAUGAAUAACAGCAAAUAUUUGUUAAUCGCUUUGUGCCAGACUCUGUGCUGAAUUUCUCAUAUGUACAUUUUUAACUUCUGAUGAUUACCCUAUAAAGAACUAUUAUUAUCCUAAUUUUACUAAUGAGAAAACAGGCUUUGAAAGAUUAAGGAGCUUGCCCAUGGUCACAGAGCUGGUAAAUUGUGGAAUCAAGAUUUAAAUCCAGAUCUAUCUGCUCAUGUUUAUCUAUUCAUCAGUUUGGUAGAACUAAAAUAUUUGAAAAACCACUAGUCAUUUUUUAAAGUAUUAAUGCUUACAGAGUUAAUUUAUCUUUUAAAGGGAAAACACAUAGCUAUUCUACUCUAGUGGAUGGAAAUAGAGUGUUCUAAUUUAAACUAAUGGUAUAGAAAGCCAAAUAAAUACUCUUGAUGUCAGGCUAAAUGAGAAAAUGAUCCUACUUUUAUCCCAUGUAAUCUGUUCUUAUUAUAUGAAUGUUACGAGUAUUUUUGCUUAGAGAUUGAUAUAUUACAAGCCAGUAAUAGAUUUUUCUUAAAAACUCCUUUUGAAGAAGAGAGAUCUAAAUUGAAAGACAACCAUAGAAUGUUUAAUGAGUUGUGAGAGAUGAAGAUACCAAGAUAUUGUGAGGGACGUGUGAGGUCUAAAUGAGUUAAUAUGUGUAAAGCACUUGGUGGGGUGCCUGGCACACAAGAAGCACUGUAUUAUUGCUGCCGCUGUUCUUAUUAAGAACUUCAAGUAGCUUGCAAUCCAGUGGUAGAGAUAAACGCAUAAGCUGACAACAAGUAAUGUGAUAAAUGAUGUAAUUUAGCUAUGAUCAAAAUUCUGUGGGCAUUCCAAGGGGACAGGGUCUGCCAGGGAAUAGGGAGAGUGGCAGGAAAACAAGAUGGCACCCAGAGAUCCCACAGCUGCAGAGUGAGCACGUUGCUAGAACUAGAGCAACGCAACCUUUUUCAGAAACACUUUAUUUGUUGGUAAAUCUUUUACUACUAAAGGCUUUACUUCUUAGAAUCCACAAUGUUUAAAGUUUCCACAGUUUCAAGCACUCCUUUGCCUCUGGUGGUUGGGGGAAGGGGGCCACUGGGCAGAAGGGCAAGGCUUUCACCAAGAUGAUAUGAGAAUGGGGAACAGGGGGAAGAGGUCUCUGAAGCUUAUGAAGAUGUGGCCCAGUACUCAAAGGAAGUUCUGGCCUCAUCUAGAAGUCCAACGAGGAUGUUCAGACUCCAGGAGGGGAAGACACAUUCCCAUCCCCCAGGCUCCUGUCCCUCUCUAGUAGAGGAGAAACAGUGGAGCACAGACUUGGUGAUGUGUACAUUGAGCAAGAGGGAAGGGGUAGGCGGUGGAGCUGUGGCCCAACUUGGCGGGCACUGCCCAAAAAAGCCCACCUUUUUCCUCCAAACCCAUGCCAGGUGUCUAGCACACUAACUCAGUGUUUCCUAAGCCAAAUGACAUGGAAGGCUGCUUAAAAGUCUACAUUCUUUACUACAGGCCAUUAACUUUAUGUAGGCAAAACAUAUUUAUGUUCCUCUGGUUCUUCAAUAAACAGAGUAGAGAAACUUUCUGUGGGUAGUUCACUCUGGGCCGGUGAAAAGAGGGCAGCUAUUCUGAUGUGAAUAACUAAUAAAACAUAUACAGAGAAAAAAAAGUUCAAAAUUAAACAGAGGAACACUGUUGCUAGAAUUAAAUAGAUACAACUUUUUGGGAAGGCAUUUUGGCAAUAGCUAUCAAACUUGACCCAGCUAUUCCACUGUUUCACAUUUAUACUUUAUGUAUACUCCCUGACACAUGUCUAAGAACAAACAAUGCUGUAUUAUUUGAAAAAAAAAUUCAAACUGGAAACAACCUAAAUGUCCAUCGACAGGGUGCUAGUUAUGAGGUUGUCUAACAUGUAAAGCUUCCCAAUGUUACAUGAAAAAGCAAAGUUCAAAAUAGUAUGUAUAUUGUAAUCCUGGUUGUCUAACAUAUAUGUACCAUGUAUCUAAACAUUUAUAGUUACAUUUAUAAUAUUGGUAUAGAUGUAUACGUAUUAGAAAUGCUGGAAAGAUCUAGGUGGGGCAAAUUGGCAGCACAGGAACAAAUUUAAUCUGCAGGAAGAUUUGUUUAUUGGUGGUGGUUGUUUUUUCACUUAAAUGGGAAUGCCUUUAGGAGAGGCUCCCAUACAGUUCCUAUUUAUUCCUCAAUGUAUUCCCUGUUAUCUUACACUCUCUGCUUCCCUCAGUUCCUUCUGGCCCUCAGAGGCAAAUGAGGAAAGAAAUCAUGGUGGUGGGGGCAGCUGAAGGGAUGCUUUAGUCUUUCCUUUCUGUUUCAACACUGUAAGCAAACAUUACUUCAUAAUUUAAGGGAGGGUAGACUAGGAACUUCCAUCAUUUCACAUCCAUGAGAAGAAGGAAUAGAGGAAAAUAAGGAUUCUGGAAGAAGAGGCACUGAGUGGGAAGUGAUUGCUAUAGUCUAGAUAAGGAGCAAGGAGAGUUCGAACUAGCCAGUGACAGCAAGGAUAAAUUGUGAAACUCAGGUUUAAAGCCUCUUUCUGAAUCCCUUCUUGGCCACUGCAGUUAAAGGAAUGCACAGGCUCCCUCAUCCCUUCUUUCUCCACCAUGAAACAUUGCAGCCUGUGGUUGAUCACAUGGGCUGCUGGGCAGAGCUUGAUCACAUGGGCUGUUGUGCUCUAUGGGAGUCUAACUCUGCCCAUAGCACACCCAGAGAGUCUCAUUCUCCUGUCCCUGCAAGUUAAGUUCUCACUCUUCACAGUGCUGGCACCAGCUGUGUAGGAAGCAGGAGCUGUCAGCACCAAAGGUACUAGGGAAAUCAAACCCGAAUGUCCCGGAGCCAAGGUCUACCAGAGAGUACUGUCCUGGCCCAUGUCUACAACAUAGGAUCAGUGGUUUCCCCAGUUAACAUCAAGAUAAUAUUGAAAACUCUACAAUCUGCAAAGUAAAGAUUUACCUUAAAAGAAGAACAAGGAACACUUCCAAGUGAAACAUUCUUUUGUUUUUGGCAGCAGCUAAAAGUCAGACUGGUGCAAGAGUCCUGGAGGCCGUAUUUUAUCUAUUUUAUCUACUGAAAAUUCUUCAGUUGAAUGAAAUUACUUAUUUAAACAGGUUUCACUGAAUUUAGGCUGGUAUUUCAGAGACUUUCUCCUCUGUGGUCUAAGCAGUGGGGAAUGGAAUAUGGUACUAAAGUGGGGAGAAUGAACCAUGAAUAAAGUCAGAUCCAUGAAUUACUCCUCUCUUUGGCCUGUUCAUUUCUCAAAAAAAAAAAAAAAAAAAAGAAGAAGAAAGGAACAAAACCCAGAAUUUCUUUUUUUUUUUUUUUU
RNAcentral lists this long non-coding RNA (4810 nucleotides) under Homo sapiens (human). RNAcentral describes it as "non-protein coding lnc-COPG2-19:1". Lineage: Eukaryota; Metazoa; Chordata; Mammalia; Primates; Hominidae. The record is from RNAcentral.